GGACCCGUAGCUCAGCCUGGAUAGAGCGGGUGGCUUCGGACCACCAGGCCGUGGGUUCGAAUCCCAUCGGGCCCU
Molecule: transfer RNA, 75 nt
Organism: Candidatus Nitrosopelagicus brevis
Lineage: Archaea; Thermoproteati; Nitrososphaerota
Rfam family: tRNA
About the family: Transfer RNA (tRNA) molecules are approximately 80 nucleotides in length. Their secondary structure includes four short double-helical elements and three loops (D, anti-codon, and T loops).
Source: Rfam